UUAGAUUCUUUCUCCCCAUUUUCUUAGAAAUCAUUAAUCAAAGCCCUUCUCUAGUCUGGCCGACUCUGCACUUCUCUGGUUCAAAGGCUGAAAUCCAUUUUCACCCAACCUGCCACUGAUUGACAGAGAAAUGUAUAGGUGUCUGCACUUGUGUUUAACUGAUUUGAGGGUUUAAAGAGCCACCCGUUGGACUCUGACCCUAGACGUGAGCCCAGCCCAGGACGGGAAAGACACAGAGCAUGAAUGUACCACAAGUACCUUCAGGGUCUCCUGAAAGGUCGGGUCCAGUGUGUUCUUUUGGACUGCAGUCUUGCGUUUUCCCUGAGAGGAUCGGUCAGGCAGCAGUUUUUGAGCUGAUAGAAAGGACUCAGGGACCAGGACUGACAUGAACAAUGUUAGUGCUGAGUGUACAGCUGCUGAUUCACAAGGUCAUGGCAAGGGGCUGGAGCUCCCGCUGCAUUGCUCAUCCCCUGCUCCUGGAACCUACAGCCCCCUCCUCCUCCUCGUCACCUGCCAUUUGAUGAGGACCAUGAAACGGGAUUCUCCAAUCUGCCUGGAUGUCCAGGCCACACACCAGCUUCCCCUGUCUGCACCUCCACCUGCAUUUCCUCCAAACAGUGGAAGUGGAAAUGGAAAGUUCCUGACUCCGGGGGCCUCAAAGGCUGCACUUCUUCUGACUGCUGAGGCAGUUUUGAACUUUCAUAUCCACAGGAUUGCAUACAGACAUUCUUUUACAACUUGUUUUUCCUCUCCAUGUGUUUGAGAUUUGCCUAUAUUGCUAUGUGUAGCUGCAGCUCAUUCAUUUACAUUCCUACACAUUGUUCCAUUGUAUGAAUAUGACACAAAUCAUUUAUCCUCGUGAGGAACCUUUGUCUUAUGCCUUAGUGUUUGCUUUAUAAACAAUUCUGCUAUGACCAUUCCACCAUGCAUGUGUGAGCGCUUCUCUAGGCACAAAACUAGAAGCGACAGGGCAAUGUGUUUCCCUCCACACCCACACCAGUGCUCAGGGUGGAACCCAGGGCCUUGGGCAUGGUGGGGAAGUACUCUACCACUGAGCUACACCCCCACCAGUAUGUGCAUUUUUAAUUUCAGCAAAUUAUGCCAAAUUACUAAUUCAAUUUCUUUAAAACAUUCAGGACUAUUUAAGCUUUCUAUUUCAUCUUGUGUCAAGCUUAGAAAAUUUGUGGUUUUUAAGAAAUGUGUCCAUUUCAUCUCAGUUAUUAAGUGGUGUUUUUGUUUGUUUGUUUGUUUGUUUGUUUGCUUGUUUUGUUUUUUUGUUUUUGUUUUUUUGGUGCCCAGGAUUGAACUCAGGGGCGCUCAACCACUGAUCCACAUCCCUAGCCCUAUUUCAUAUUUUAUUUAGAGACAGGGUCUCAAUGAGUUGCUUAGUGCCUCACCAAGGGUGAGGCUGGCUUUGAACUUGCCAUCCUCCCAUCUCAGCCUCCCAUGCCUCUGUGAUUACAGGUGUGCGCCACAGCACCCAGCUUCAGUUGUUAAGUUUUACAUAAUAUCCUCUUCUUAUUCAUUAAUGGAUAAGCUUUGCCACAGUGUCUCUUUUCUUUGGCAUUUGUAUAUUCUCUUUUUUAAAAUCUUGAUAAAAUUUACCUCAGUGUUUACCAAUUUUUCUAAUUUUUUUCGAAGAACUGACAUUUGGGUUCAUUAUUUUUUCUCUAUUGUUUUCUAUUUCAUUGAUUAUUGAUCUUAUCUUUACUAUUUCCAUCCUUCAGAAUAAAUUAAUUUUUUUUCUAGUGUUUUAAGUUGAAGGUUUAAAUGAUUCACUUUUAAUCUUUCUUUUUAAAUAGAAACACUACUUCAAAUGCAUUCUUCAAAUUUUAAAAUGUAAAAGUCAGGGGACAUUUUGGAACAUUCUUGGGUGUAUGAUAUAAGUAGAAGAAUAUUGCAAGUUAUAGACCAGAAGUAUAAGUAAGAUGGUUAUGGAGAACCUUAAGUGCUAUAGAAAUUUGUACUUUUUUUUUUCUGACACUGAAGAAACAUUGAAGGUAUAAGUACUAAUGUGAAAAACAGUUCUGUAGAAAAAUGUAUUCACAACCUCAGGUAACACAGAAUUCUACAUACAGACAGAUACACAUACACCAAAAAAAGAUUUUGUGUGUGUGUGUUUAUAUGCAUGUAUGUAUUAUGUAUGUGCUGCGGAUAGACCCCAGGGCUUUGUGCAUACUAAACAUAUACUCUACCAAUGAGCUGCACACCAGACAUCCCAAAGCAGAGAUUUUAGAGAAGAAGAUACACGAAUUAAUAUUAUCAAAAUUUCUACCAAGAAAAAUCAUCACAAAUAGGCUGGGGUUGUGGCUCGGUGGUAAUGUGCUUACUUGGCACAUGUGAGGCACUGGGUUCGAUCCUCAGUACCACAUAAAAAUAAAUAAAAAUAAAACAAAGAUAUUGUGUCCAUCUACAACUAAGAAAAAAUUUUUUAAAAAAAGAAAAAUCAUCACAAAGAGAUUAGAAAAUAAAGAAUAGCUGAGAUAACAUGUAUCAAAUAAGGCUGGCUGUGGCAAAGCAAACCUACAAUCCCAGCUAUUUGGGAGACUGAGGCAGGAGGAUCACAAGUUUGAGAACAGCCUCAGCAACUUAGCAAGACCCUGCCUCAAGAUAAAAAAUAAAAUGGGCUAGGCAUGUAUUUCAACAUCACUGGGCUCAAUCCCCAGUACCAAAACAAAAACAGACAAAAAAGUAACAUACAUAUAACCAAUGAAAAGCUUUUAAAACCUAUUCAAAAUAGGUUCUUGAAAAUAUUUUCCUUCUGAGUAUGGUGGCACAUGUCUAUAAUCCCAGCUAUUUGGUAGGCAGAGGCAGGAGGAUCACACAUAAAAAGGUCUGGGGAUGUAGCUGAGUGGUAGCAUCUGAAGUGAACUUUGCAUGUGGGAUACCCAGGUUCAAUCCCCAGCACCACACACACACACACACACACACUUAUAAUUUUCUUAUAAAUAAAUAAGAAAAUGACAAACUAAUAGAAAAAUGGGCCAAAGGUAUGAACAGAAUGUUCCCAGAAGGAGAAAUCUAAGAGGUCAAUGUGGGUGUGUAUGAAGCUGCUCGUCUUUAUUAGGUAAUCAGGGAUACACACAUUUAAAUAACGGUGAUACAACAUUUCUUAUCUAUUAGUUGGGGAAAAUUAAUCUGUUAAUGAAUUGUGUGAAACACAAUUCAUUUUGUUUUUCCUACACGGAAAGGCAAACUUUCCAACACCAUUUGUUGAUGUCCACCUUUCCUUCCUGAUUUGUAAUAGUCCCUUGCAAUAGACUGAAUGUUUAUGUG
This is a long non-coding RNA of Marmota monax (woodchuck), 3276 nucleotides long. RefSeq lists it as uncharacterized. The transcript is spliced from 2 exons. NCBI's taxonomy places the organism in Eukaryota, Metazoa, Chordata, Mammalia, Rodentia, Sciuridae. The record is from RefSeq and is a predicted model, not a curated record.